This 424-nucleotide ribosomal RNA is filed under the name uncultured archaeon. Its description in RNAcentral is "bacterial SSU rRNA". It matches the Rfam family "Archaeal small subunit ribosomal RNA", at positions 468 to 911 of the family's 1478-position model. The record is from RNAcentral.
CGGUAACCAGCUCCUCGAGUGUCGGGCGAUAUGGGCCUAAAGCAUCCGUACCGGUCCGUAGUCUCCGCUAAAUCCAGUCGUCAACGAUUGGUCCGCAGGAGAUACCGCNGGGACUAGGAGGCGGGAGAANGGUGGACGGUACUCCACGUGUUUAAAGGGUAAAUCCUUUGGAANNUCCCGGNUUGGAAGACCCCAANCCAGUGCGAAGCGGUCCACCAGACGCGCUCGACGUGAGGGAUGAAAGCUGGGGGACGAACCGGAUUAGAUACCCNGGGUAGUCCCAGCCGUAAACGAUGCUAGCUAGAUGAUCCAGUCGCAAAUCGCGAUUGGAGUGUCGCAGGGAAGCCGUUAAGUACCGCUGGAGUACGUCGCAAGACUGAUAAAGAGCGGGGCACCACAAGGGUGAACCUCGGUUCAAUGAUCA